AGAGUUUGAUCCUGGCUCAGAACGAACGCUGGCGGCAGGCUUAACACAUGCAAGUCGAACGCGUGUAGCAAUACACGAGUGGCGCACGGGUGAGUAACACGUGGAUAUCUGCCUUUUGGUUCGGAAUAACUCCGGGAAACUGGAGCUAAUACCGGAUGGUUCCUACGGGAUAAAGAUUUAUCGCCAAAAGAUGAGUCCGCGCACGAUUAGCUAGUUGGUGAGGUAAUGGCUCACCAAGGCGACGAUCGUUAGCUGGUCUGAGAGGACGAUCAGCCACACUGGGACUGAGACACGGCCCAGACUCCUACGGGAGGCAGCAGUGGGGAAUAUUGGACAAUGGGGGCAACCCUGAUCCAGCCAUGCCGCGUGAGUGAUGAAGGCCUUCGGGUUGUAAAGCUCUUUUGGCGGGGACGAUGAUGACGGUACCCGCAGAAUAAGCCCCGGCUAACUUCGUGCCAGCCGCCGCGGUAAUAC
RNAcentral lists this ribosomal RNA (474 nucleotides) under uncultured bacterium. Its description in RNAcentral is "bacterial SSU rRNA". It matches the Rfam family "Bacterial small subunit ribosomal RNA", at positions 8 to 526 of the family's 1533-position model. The record is from RNAcentral.